This 221-nucleotide unclassified non-coding RNA is filed under the name fungal sp. RNAcentral's name for it is "partial internal transcribed spacer region". The stretch from base 1 to 46 matches the Rfam family "Eukaryotic small subunit ribosomal RNA", at positions 1786 to 1831 of the family's 1831-position model. The record is from RNAcentral. Lineage: Eukaryota; Fungi.
AAGUCGUAACAAGGUCUCCGUAGGUGAACCUGCGGAGGGAUCAUUACUGAGUGAGGGCCUUCGGGCUCGACCUCCAACCCUUUGUGAACACAACUUGUUGCUUCGGGGGCGACCCUGCCGGUUCGACGGCGAGCGCUCCCGGAGGCCUUCAAACACUGCAUCCUUGCGUCGGAGUUUAAGUAAAUUAAACAAAACUUUCAACAACGGAUCUCUUGGUUCUG